This 498-nucleotide ribosomal RNA is filed under the name uncultured Methanomicrobiales archaeon. RNAcentral's name for it is "bacterial SSU rRNA". It matches the Rfam family "Archaeal small subunit ribosomal RNA", at positions 858 to 1338 of the family's 1478-position model. The record is from RNAcentral. Lineage: Archaea; Methanobacteriati; Methanobacteriota; Methanomicrobia; Methanomicrobiales.
CGCCCGCUCAGAAACUACAAAGGAAUUGACGGGGAGCACCACAACAGGUGGAGCCUGCGGUUUAAUCGGACUCAACGCCGGGAAACUCACCAGAUAAGACAGCUGAAUGAUAGUCGGGCUGAAGACUCUACUUGACUAGCUGAGAGGAGGUGCAUGGCCGUCGUCAGUUCGUACUGUGAAGCAUCCUGUUAAGUCAGGCAACGAGCGAGACCCACGCCAACAGUUGCCAGCUCGUCCUCCGGGAUGGUGGGGACACUGUUGGGACCGCCUCUGCUAAAGAGGAAGAAGGAAUGGGCAACGGUAGGUCAGCAUGCCCCGAAUUAUCUGGGCUACACGCGGGCUACAAUGGGUGGGACAAUGGGUAUCGACACCGAAAGGUGAAGGCAAUCUCCUAAACCCAUCCGUAGUUCGGAUUGUGGGCUGCAACUCGCCCACAUGAAGCUGGAAUCUGUAGUAAUCGUGUCUCAAAAUGGCACGGUGAAUAUGUCCCUGCUCCUU